Maylandia zebra (zebra mbuna) is the source of this 906-nucleotide non-coding RNA. The record is from RefSeq and is a predicted model, not a curated record. Lineage: Eukaryota; Metazoa; Chordata; Actinopteri; Cichliformes; Cichlidae.
GGCCACCAAUGCCAAUCUACAGACAAUAAACAAAAACAGAAACUAUUUGGUUGAAAACCUAAGCAAAUCAACAUUUAAGGAUCUCCUGGAUGACCUUCUGCAAGAUAAAGUCCUGAGUGAUGCAGAGAGAGAUGAAAUUCUUGAAACAACUCCAGUCACAAAAGAUCGGGCCCGCAACCUUGUUGACGUGGUGAAGAGGAAAGGAGAGCAGGCAGUAAGUUGCUUUCUGGUUCAUCUUGAAAAACGAGAUGAGAAUCUUUACAAGAACCUACCUGAACCGCCGAAAGGGAAGUCUACGCAGAAACCAACAGGUGAAAGAAGAUCAUUCGCGAAGGACAGGCCCAAGCCUGAUAACUUCUGAAUAUUCAAUCCAAAGUGUAACUGCAUGAAUCAAUUACCUCAAUAACUUCUUUAAAUGUGAGCAAGAUGGGCAAUUACCAGUGAUAACUGUGCCAUUUUCUGUAAUCUAAAUAGACAUUAAAGUCAAAUUCAAAUGAUCAUGCCAUAUUUUUUCCUGAAUCACAAUUACUCUCCUCACAGCUUUCCAUGUUUCCUUGAGAAGAUGUAAAUCCAUGGAACAACGGGCCAGAAAUUAAAAAUAGCAGUACAGGAAAAAAAGUAAAGAUGAAACACUAAUUACUAAAAGUAUAAUAUUUGGAUAACCAUGCAAUCCCUGAGUAAUAAAGUUGUAAUUUCUGUGCACUACUAAAUAUUUUUAAUACAGCAAACCCAUGAUAAUACUGUUUACGAUUUGCUAUUACUAUAUUUAUUUGCUGAAAUACCUCAUACUGAUGCAAUCAUUAAUCCUGUAUGUUAAAUAGGCUAAAAUGUACAGGUUAACUUUGAUGUUACUGUCAAAACAUACAAAGAUGCAUCACAUUAAUAAAGGUCAACUAAGUAACUCAA